RNAcentral lists this ribosomal RNA (492 nucleotides) under uncultured Desulfobulbus sp. Its description in RNAcentral is "bacterial SSU rRNA". It matches the Rfam family "Bacterial small subunit ribosomal RNA", at positions 896 to 1382 of the family's 1533-position model. The record is from RNAcentral. Lineage: Bacteria; Pseudomonadati; Thermodesulfobacteriota; Desulfobulbia; Desulfobulbales; Desulfobulbaceae.
GAAACUCAAAUGAAUUGACGGGGGCCCGCACAAGCGGUGGAGUAUGUGGUUUAAUUCGAUGCAACGCGAAGAACCUUACCUGGUCUUGACAUCCCGGAGACCCUUAGGAAACUAGGGGGUGCUUCCAUCUGGAAGAAUCUGGAGACAGGUGCUGCAUGGCUGUCGUCAGCUCGUGUCGUGAGAUGUUGGGUUAAGUCCCGCAACGAGCGCAACCCUUGCCUUUAGUUGCCAGCAGUUCGGCUGGGCACUCUAAAGGGACUGCCGGUGUUAAACCGGAGGAAGGUGGGGAUGACGUCAAGUCCUCAUGGCCUUUAUGACCAGGGCUACACACGUACUACAAUGGCCGAUACAAAGGGCAGCGACACUGCGAGGUGAAGCCAAUCCCGUAAAAUCGGUCUCAGUCCGGAUUGGAGUCUGCAACUCGACUCCAUGAAGUUGGAAUCGCUAGUAAUCGUGGAUCAGCAUGCCACGGUGAAUACGUUCCCGGGCCUU